GGCUACUAAAGGUUGUAGUGGAGACGGGGAGUUUAACAUCAUGGCUACUAAAGGUUGUAGUGGAGACGGGGAGUAUAACAACAUGGCUACUAAAGGUUGUAGUGGAGACGGGGAGUUUAACAACAUGGCUACUAAAGGUUGUAGUGGAGACGGGGAGUUUAACAACAUGGCUACUAAAGGUUGUAGUGGAG
Molecule: long non-coding RNA, 191 nt
Organism: Oncorhynchus keta (chum salmon)
Lineage: Eukaryota; Metazoa; Chordata; Actinopteri; Salmoniformes; Salmonidae
Exons: 3
Source: RefSeq, a predicted model, not a curated record